This 264-nucleotide ribosomal RNA is filed under the name uncultured archaeon. RNAcentral's name for it is "partial 16S ribosomal RNA". It matches the Rfam family "Archaeal small subunit ribosomal RNA", at positions 714 to 982 of the family's 1478-position model. The record is from RNAcentral.
AGACGUCUACAUUAGAUACCCCCGUAGUCCCAGCCGUAAACUAUGCGCGUUAGGUGUAUCGGUGACCACGAGUUACCGAGGUGCCGAAGGGAAACCGUGAAACGUGCCGCCUGGGAAGUACGGUCGCAAGGCUGAAACUUAAAGGAAUUGGCGGGGAGCACCACAACAGGUGGAGCCUGCGGUUUAAUUGGACUCAACGCCGGGAAGCUCACCGGAUAAGACAGCAGAAUGAUUGCCGGGCUGAAGACUCUGCAUGACUAGCUG